CCUACGGGAGACAACAGUAGGGAAUAUUGCUCAAUGGGGGAAACCCUGAAGCAGCAACGCCGCGUGGAGGAUGAAGGUUUUAGGAUUGUAAACUCCUUUUGUUAGAGAAGAUUAUGACGGUAUCUAACGAAUAAGCACCGGCUAACUCCGUGCCAGCAGCCGCGGUAAUACGGAGGGUGCAAGCGUUACUCGGAAUCACUGGGCGUAAAGCGUGCGUAGGCGGGGUAAUAAGUCAGAUGUGAAAUGCUGUAGCUUAACUACAGAACUGCAUUUGAAACUGUUACUCUGGAGUGUGGGAGAGGUAGGUGGAAUUCUUGGUGUAGGGGUAAAAUCCGUAGAGAUCAAGAGGAAUACUCAUUGCGAAGGCGACCUGCUGGAACAUUACUGACGCUGAUGCACGAAAGCGUGGGGAGCAAACAGGAUUAGAUACCCCAGUAGUC
This 440-nucleotide ribosomal RNA is filed under the name uncultured bacterium. Its description in RNAcentral is "partial 16S ribosomal RNA". It matches the Rfam family "Bacterial small subunit ribosomal RNA", at positions 338 to 795 of the family's 1533-position model. The record is from RNAcentral.